CAACGCUACUAUUCAUAGCGUUGACCGACGUCAAUAGUACUCUAAUAAUUGGGGCGUCACUUUAAAAAUGACACUAAUAAUAUGUUAUUUGCGUCGUUUAGAUAUAUGACGCUAAAAGCUCAACCGACGAAAAAAAGCAAGAAAUUUAAAAAUUUACGUUUCAUUUUGCGUCUGUUAUUAAAACUCGUGUAUUGUAUUAGCAAGCUUUUAAAAACGACGCAAAAUACAAUACUGAGAGUUAAUAAUCGACGAAAAAAAAAAGUGAAAUCCUUAAAGCAAAAUCCUCAGCCCUCUCUCUUCAGACGCGCGAUUCAGCCUCACACUAUUCACGUCUCUGCGAUUCUCUUCAGCGCCGCAUCUCCUCUUCAGACGACGGUGAGAACUCACCCUAACCACCUCCUCUUCAGACGAUUCGACGGUGGUUGGUGGUCUCUCUUCUCCCGUGAGUUCCUUGAUAAUGCCUCUGGUGGUUUCUGAGUUCCUUUCUUCAUAACCUCCGAUGGUCAAAACCCCCCGUGAGUUCCUUUAGACGAUUCGACGGUGAUGAUUUCAAAGUUGGAGCAAAUCAGAAUGGCUUUGGAGAUGGAAACUGGUGGAAUUGUCAGCUUGAGUUGCUGGGCAGAAGCUGCUGGUAUUGAUGAAAAAAUGCUUAAGCAGCAACUUUUCGGUUGGCAUCGUCAGGACGAGGUUGUAAGGAGUACUAAGUCCUUAGUUCUAUACCUUGCAAGAAAGUAUAGGGGUUUAGCAAUAACCUUGGAUGAUUUACUUCAGGUUAUGAAUAUCAAGUCUUACAACCACAUGAUAUCACAGAAAAUACUCACAAAAUUAUAGAACUUCUUAGAUAUUCUGAUGAAGGGGUUGUAGUUGUAGAUACUCUAUCGUUCAUCGCCAAGUUCAAGUCAGACGCUCCAUAUAGUAACGAGGAGAUCAAUGCAGUACGGGAUGAGUGGACUGAAUUUGUGGAGCCUUUGAUUAUCAAUUAAGUACAAGGUUACUACUUUUGUUAUAAUACAUGAGUAACAAGUUUUAUGAUUAUUGUUAUAUUUUGCAUAAGUAAUUAGCGUCAAAAAUGACGCUAAUCAGACGCUCCAUAUAGUAACGAGGAGAUCAAUGCAGUACGGGAUGAGUGGACUGAAUUUGUGGAGCCUUUGAUUAUCAAUUAAGUACAAGGUUACUACUUUUGUUAUAAUACAUGAGUAACAAGUUUUAUGAUUAUUGUUAUAUUUUGCAUAAGUAAUUAGUUUAUAUCUAGUUUACGAUAUACAUAGAAUUUAAGUUUUAGGAUCGAUUCUAUUAACAAUUUUAGUAUUAUGUGAUUAGUUAAUAGAAUGGAUUACUAAUUUUAUGUAAGUUUUAAAAAUUUUAUUUUAAUUUUUUUUUUUUUGUAUUAUGUAUUUACUAUUAUAUAGAAUUAUUGUAAAAUUUAAUAAUGCAUUUUUCGUCAUUUUAUAAGCGACGCAAUAAGUGAAAGAAAAAAGCAUUUUCGUAAUAGAUAUGACAUUUUUGAACCGACGUAAUAAGUUUUUUGUGAUAGUUUUAAAAUGCCAUAAAUAAUUUAGCGUCAUUUUUAAACCGACGCAAAAGAUAAAACAUAAAAGUAAAUAUUUUGCGUCGGUUUGUAAAUGUCGACAAUUGUUUUUUGCGUCGUUUCAAAAAUGACGCUAAUAAAAGACUAUUUGCGACUACGGUAUAUACGUCGGUUUAAAAAACCGACGUAAAUUCUUUAAAUGACUCUUAAAAACCGACG
Molecule: RNA transcript, 1747 nt
Organism: Cannabis sativa
Lineage: Eukaryota; Viridiplantae; Streptophyta; Magnoliopsida; Rosales; Cannabaceae
Gene name: RNA polymerase sigma factor sigC-like
Exons: 4
Source: RefSeq, a predicted model, not a curated record